UACAGGCUUAACACAUGCAAGUCGAGGGGCAGCAUUGGAGUAGCAAUACUCAGAUGGCGACCGGCGCACGGGUGAGUAACACGUAUCCAACCUGCCGCUUACUCGGGGAUAGCCUUUCGAAAGAAAGAUUAAUACCCGAUGGUAUAAAGAGUUCGCAUGUUCUCUUUAUUAAAGAAUUUCGGUAAGCGAUGGGGAUGCGUUCCAUUAGAUAGUUGGCGGGGUAACGGCCCACCAAGUCUACGAUGGAUAGGGGUUCUGAGAGGAAGGUCCCCCACAUUGGAACUGAGACACGGUCCAAACUCCUACGGGAGGCAGCAGUGAGGAAUAUUGGUCAAUGGACGAGAGUCUGAACCAGCCAAGUAGCGUGAAGGAUGACUGCCCUAUGGGUUGUAAACUUCUUUUAUAAGGGAAUAAAGUGAGGGACGUGUCCCUUUUUGUAUGUACCUUAUGAAUAAGGAUCGGCUAACUCCGUGCCAGCAGCUGC
This 484-nucleotide ribosomal RNA is filed under the name uncultured bacterium. RNAcentral describes it as "bacterial SSU rRNA". It matches the Rfam family "Bacterial small subunit ribosomal RNA", at positions 41 to 518 of the family's 1533-position model. The record is from RNAcentral.